GUGAAUCAUCGAAUCUUUGAACGCAAAUGGCACUCUCUUCGGAGAGAAUGCCUGUUUGAGGGUCAGCCUAAAAAAAAACGACAGAGUUGAUGCUACGCGGUGACAUUCGUCGGAAAUUGGGUCAUCUUAAACCUUUGGGUUUUAAGCGGCUUAAAAUUUUCUUUACUAUUCCACUUAAGUUGCUAAGAUUUUACUUCUUAAACACUUUUAAGUAAUCUAUCUUUAUUAUACUGUGCCGUUACAUCGGAUCUCGUCCCUCAAUAUUUCGUUAACUG
Molecule: unclassified non-coding RNA, 275 nt
Filed under: Glomus sp.
Lineage: Eukaryota; Fungi; Glomeromycota; Glomeromycetes; Glomerales; Glomeraceae
Description: partial contains 5.8S ribosomal RNA and internal transcribed spacer 2
Rfam family: 5.8S ribosomal RNA (bases 1-65)
Source: RNAcentral